UACACCGAACUAGUUCUACAGUUGUUCACGGGUGAGGGAUUGAUCGGUUACUCAAGUUGUCAAGGGUUGUUUUAGGGUUGCAUUGCUUUGAGAAGGAGUUUUGAUGGGUCAUGGACUUGUUGAUGAUGUAUCAAGUGGCUGUGGAGGAAUUGUUAGAUUUAUGAUGUUGUGCACAGCGCCCCCUUGGUGCUUGUAGUGUAGAUUGGAUGCACUGUGGCAACAACUGGUUAGCUGUCAGAUGUGGCAUUCUCUUAGUAUUUGGAAGUUAGCCUUCGGUGAGCUUGGUUCGGAGUUCAAAGGGUAUCAUCAGACUGAUUGUAGGAUAUAUUUGGUUGUAUUUGUGCCAUCCUUCACGGGGAUUAUUUCUACAAGUCAGGAUUGUAUAGUGGAAGACUGAUUGGUCAUUUUGGUGUGGAUAUUUGCAGUCGGAAACUUAAGCUCUUUUGAGGAUUUGUGGUGGAUACCGAACUCGUGCCAGGUGGAAGGAUUUCCGAAAUUAGAUUCAUAAGAAACAGAAGGCCCUCAGUCACUCAUCAAGUCCCAGCAGGACUUCCGUGCAGAACACCGCACACGAAGAAUCGUAUAGAAAACCCCUUGGCCAGGGUAAGAAUUUUACCAUUAAAUGUGUUUUAAAUGAUUUUAGUAAUUUCUGGUUCCAUCGUUAUAUCUCAACUGAAUAUUAGUAUUGAAGAGAGGUUUCAACACUCAUUCAAUUUUCUUGAUUUUUACGGAUCAUAUGGUUAUACAGGGCACCCAAAAAUAUACUCUUGUUAUCUUGCUACUUUGCUUGAUGAAAAUAUACCAGGGGUAUUGAUUAGUCAAAUAGUCCUAUUGAAUGGGGGUUGAAUCUCACCUUGUUUCAUCUGAUUCUGAUUGAGAAUUUUCUUCCGUAGGGUUUUUCUUCCUGCUUUUCUUUUCCUGUUUUUUUUUGUCUUCGUUCCUGUUUCCUUUUUCUUUUCCUGUCUUUUUUUUCCCCUAUUUUCUUUCUGGAUCUUAUUUGGUGAUCCAUUACUGGUCCAGCUUGUCGUGCCCUACAGGGUGAUCUAUCUUGGUGGUGCUACAGGGUGAUCCAUCUCCGCCGUACUACAGGGUGAUCCAUCUCAGCAGUACUACAGGGUGAUCCACUUCCGCCAUACUACAGGGUAGCCUAACACCAUAUACCGGGUGGCCCAAAAGGAGCACGCAAGUUAUAAUUGAUUUAUUUGAAAAUUUGUGCAAUACUGAGAUAUUUAAAUAAUUGUUUGCCCUUAUGUUUAUUGAUACCUGUUGAUAUAGUGUUGUUUAUCGUU
Leptinotarsa decemlineata (Colorado potato beetle) is the source of this 1289-nucleotide long non-coding RNA. NCBI's taxonomy places the organism in Eukaryota, Metazoa, Arthropoda, Insecta, Coleoptera, Chrysomelidae. The record is from RefSeq and is a predicted model, not a curated record.